GUCCACGCUGUAACGAUGAGAACUAGAUGUUGGGAGGUAUAACCUCUCAGUGUCGCAGCUAACGCAUUAAGUUCUCCGCCUGGGAGUACGGCCGCAAGGUUGAACUCAAAGGAAUUGACGGGGACCCGCACAAGCGGUGGAGCAUGUGGUUUAAUUCGAUGCAACGCGAAGAACCUUACCUGCCCUUGACAUCCUUGGAAUCCUGCAGAGAUGUGGGAGUGCCUUCGGGAACCGAGAGACAGGUGCUGCAUGGCUGUCGU
This 260-nucleotide ribosomal RNA is filed under the name uncultured bacterium. RNAcentral describes it as "partial 16S ribosomal RNA". It matches the Rfam family "Bacterial small subunit ribosomal RNA", at positions 793 to 1055 of the family's 1533-position model. The record is from RNAcentral.